AAAUGUAGUCUUAUUAUAACAUAAUAAAACUUUCAACAACGGAUCUCUUGGCUCUCGCAUCGAUGAAGAACGCGGCGAAAUGCGAUAAGUAAUGUGAAUUGCAGAAUUCAGUGAAUCAUCGAAUCUUUGAACGCACCUUGCGCUCCUUGGUAUUCCGAGGAGCAUGCCUGUUUGAGUGUCAUGAAACCCUCAAACCCAAGUUUUGGAUUUCGAUCCAUGCUUGAGUUUGGAUUUGGAUGUUUGCCGGUGAUGAACCGACUCAUCUUAAAAGUAUUAGCUUGGAUCUGUCUAUAUGACUGGUUUGACUUGGCAUAAUAAGUAUUUUGCUGAGGACAUCUUCGGAUGGCCAGGACCUAGACUACUGUCUGCUAACUAAACCAUCACUUUAAGUGCAUCUUUGGAUGUUACUCAUUGUGUAACUUCGACAUCUGGCCUCAAAUCAAGUAGGACUACCCGCUGAACUUAAGCA
RNAcentral lists this ribosomal RNA (469 nucleotides) under uncultured fungus. Its description in RNAcentral is "eukaryotic LSU rRNA". The stretch from base 28 to 181 matches the Rfam family "5.8S ribosomal RNA". The record is from RNAcentral. Lineage: Eukaryota; Fungi.